RNAcentral lists this ribosomal RNA (497 nucleotides) under uncultured bacterium. Its description in RNAcentral is "partial 16S ribosomal RNA". It matches the Rfam family "Bacterial small subunit ribosomal RNA", at positions 28 to 507 of the family's 1533-position model. The record is from RNAcentral.
GAUGAACGCUGGCGGCGUGCCUAAUACAUGCAAGUCGAGCGAACAGACGAGGAGCUUGCUCCUUUGACGUUAGCGGCGGACGGGUGAGUAACACGUGGAUAACCUACCUAUAAGGCUGGGAUAACUUCGGGAAACCGGAGCUAAUACCGGAUAACAUGUUGAACCGCAUGGUUCAAUAGUGAAAGACGGUCUUGCUGUCACUUAUAGAUGGAUCCGCGCCGCAUUAGCUAGUUGGUAAGGUAACGGCUUACCAAGGCAACGAUGCGUAGCCGACCUGAGAGGGUGAUCGGCCACACUGGAACUGAGACACGGUCCAGACUCCUACGGGAGGCAGCAGUAGGGAAUCUUCCGCAAUGGGCGAAAGCCUGACGGAGCAACGCCGCGUGAGUGAAGAAGGUCUUCGGAUCGUAAAACUCUGUUAUUAGGGAAGAACAAAUGUGUAAGUAACUAUGCACGUCUUGACGGUACCUAAUCAGAAAGCCACGGCUAACUACGUG